RNAcentral lists this unclassified non-coding RNA (336 nucleotides) under soil metagenome. RNAcentral describes it as "partial contains 5.8S ribosomal RNA, internal transcribed spacer 2, and large subunit ribosomal RNA". The stretch from base 1 to 120 matches the Rfam family "5.8S ribosomal RNA", at positions 35 to 154 of the family's 154-position model. The record is from RNAcentral.
GAUGAAGAACGUAGCGAAAUGCGAUAAGUAAUGUGAAUUGCAGAAUUCAGUGAAUCAUCGAAUCUUUGAACGCACAUUGCGCCCGCCAGUAUUCUGGCGGGCAUGCCUGUUCGAGCGUCAUUUCAACCAUCAAGCCCCCGGGCUUGUGUUGGGGACCUGCGGCUGCCGCAGGCCCUGAAAACCAGUGGCGGGCUCGCUGUCACACCGGGCGCAGUAGUUUAUAUCUCGCUCAGGGCGUGCUGCGGGUUCCGGCCGUUAAAAGCCUUUUUUACCCAAGGUUGACCUCGGAUCAGGUAGGAAUACCCGCUGAACUUAAGCAUAUCAAUAAGCGGAGGA